This 552-nucleotide ribosomal RNA is filed under the name Colletotrichum asianum. RNAcentral describes it as "eukaryotic LSU rRNA". The stretch from base 191 to 344 matches the Rfam family "5.8S ribosomal RNA". The record is from RNAcentral. Lineage: Eukaryota; Fungi; Ascomycota; Sordariomycetes; Glomerellales; Glomerellaceae.
CCUGCGGAGGGAUCAUUACUGAGUUUACGCUCUACAACCCUUUGUGAACAUACCUAUAACUGUUGCUUCGGCGGGUAGGGUCUCCGCGACACUCCCGGCCUCCCGCCCCCGGGCGGGUCGGCGCCCGCCGGAGGAUAACCAAACUCUGAUGUAACGACGUUUCUUCUGAGUGGUACAAGCAAAUAAUCAAAACUUUUAACAACGGAUCUCUUGGUUCUGGCAUCGAUGAAGAACGCAGCGAAAUGCGAUAAGUAAUGUGAAUUGCAGAAUUCAGUGAAUCAUCGAAUCUUUGAACGCACAUUGCGCCCGCCAGCAUUCUGGCGGGCAUGCCUGUUCGAGCGUCAUUUCAACCCUCAAGCUCUGCUUGGUGUUGGGGCCCUACAGCUGAUGUAGGCCCUCAAAGGUAGUGGCGGACCCUCCCGGAGCCUCCUUUGCGUAGUAACUUUACGUCUCGCACUGGGAUCCGGAGGGACUCUUGCCGUAAAACCCCCAAUUCUCCAAAGGUUGACCUCGGAUCAGGUAGGAAUACCCGCUGAACUUAAGCAUAUCAAU